This 496-nucleotide ribosomal RNA is filed under the name uncultured bacterium. Its description in RNAcentral is "partial 16S ribosomal RNA". It matches the Rfam family "Bacterial small subunit ribosomal RNA", at positions 28 to 507 of the family's 1533-position model. The record is from RNAcentral.
GAUGAACGCUGGCGGCGUGCCUAAUACAUGCAAGUCGAGCGAACGGACGAGAAGCUUGCUUUUCUGAUGUUAGCGGCGGACGGGUGAGUAACACGUGGAUAACCUACCUAUAAGACUGGGAUAACUUCGGGAAACCGGAGCUAAUACCGGAUAAUAUUUUGAACCGCAUGGUUCAAAAGUGAAAGACGGUUUUCUGGCACCUUUAGAUUGAUCCGCGCUGCAUUAGCUAGUUGGUAAGGUAACGGCUUACCAAGGCAACGAUGCAUAGCCGACCUGAGAGGGUGAUCGGCCACACUGGAACUGAGACACGGUCCAGACUCCUACGGGAGGCAGCAGUAGGGAAUCUUCCGCAAUGGGCGAAAGCCUGACGGAGCAACGCCGCGUGAGUGAUGAAGGUCUUCGGAUCGUAAAACUCUGUUAUUAGGGAAGAACAUAUGUGUAAGUAACUGUGCACAUCUUGACGGUACCUAAUCAGAAAGCCACGGCUAACUACGUG